This 279-nucleotide ribosomal RNA is filed under the name uncultured bacterium. RNAcentral describes it as "partial 16S ribosomal RNA". It matches the Rfam family "Bacterial small subunit ribosomal RNA", at positions 29 to 334 of the family's 1533-position model. The record is from RNAcentral.
AACGUACGCUGGCGGCACGCCUAACACAUGCAAGUCGAACGAAGUAGCAAUACUUAGUGGCAGACGGGUGAGUAACAUGUGGGUAUCUACCCUUUGGCCUGGAAUAACACGAGGAAACUUGUGCUAAUACCGGAUAAGUCUUUACGGAGAAAGCUUUAUGCACCAUUGGAUGAGCCCGCACUUGAUUAGUUUGUUGGUAGGGUAAUGGCCUACCAAGACUAUGAUCAAUAGCUGAUUUGAGAGGAUGAUCAGCCACAUUGGGACUGAGACACGGCCCAA